CCCUUAGAUGUUCUGGGCUGCACGCGCGCUACACUGAAGCGUUCAACGAGUAUUCACCUUGCCCGGGAGGGUUGGGUAAUCUUUUGAAAACGCUUCGUGAUGGGGAUAGAUUAUUGCAAUUAUUAAUCUUCAACGAGGAAUUCCUAGUAAGCGCGAGUCAUCAGCUCGUGCUGAUUACGUCCCUGCCCUUUGUACACACCGCCCGUCGCUCCUACCGAGUGAGUGAUCCGGUGAAUAAUUCGGACUGCAGCACUGCUUGGUCUCCAGGCUUUGCAGCGGAAAGUUUAGUGAACCUUAUCACUUAGAGGAAGGAGAAGUCGUAACA
This 325-nucleotide ribosomal RNA is filed under the name uncultured eukaryote. RNAcentral's name for it is "partial 18S ribosomal RNA". It matches the Rfam family "Eukaryotic small subunit ribosomal RNA", at positions 1470 to 1796 of the family's 1831-position model. The record is from RNAcentral.